AUGAAUAUCCCAAAGUCUUAAGAAGGACUGCAUUCCACGGCAGUUUAUCUCAUAAGUUAGUUACCUGGUCCAAUUUGGGAUGAAUUGUUAUUUCAGUGGCAAUAGAUUAUGAAAAGAACUAAAAAUACCUUGAGAAAAAAAAGUUAUAAACAGAUCUAAGCUGCAAGGCAAUCGUUAAAACUUACCUUUUUUGUCACAAGUGAUCACACUUGUCAGAAAGACUUUCUACUUUGCCCCAAACAACAAAUUUCUAGGGAGUGGAGUCACAAACUCCAUUGCCUCUGUAAGCCCUGGUGCCAUACGGCACUGUAACAGA
This 316-nucleotide long non-coding RNA is filed under the name Pan troglodytes (chimpanzee). Its description in RNAcentral is "long non-coding RNA NONPTRT001631". The record is from RNAcentral. Lineage: Eukaryota; Metazoa; Chordata; Mammalia; Primates; Hominidae.